UACAGAGGGUGCAAGCGUUGUUCGGAAUUAUUGGGCGUAAAGGGCGCGUAGGCGGCCAUACAGGUCAGCUGUGAAAACUCGAGGCUCAACCUCGAGACGUCGGUUGAAACCGUAUGGCUAGAGUCCGGAAGAGGAGAGUGGAAUUCCCGGUGUAGCGGUGAAAUGCGCAGAUAUCGGGAAGAACACCCGUGGCGAAGGCGGCUCUCUAGUACGGUACUGACGCUGAGACGCGAAAGCGUGGGGAGCGAACAGG
This 253-nucleotide ribosomal RNA is filed under the name uncultured bacterium. RNAcentral describes it as "partial 16S ribosomal RNA". It matches the Rfam family "Bacterial small subunit ribosomal RNA", at positions 524 to 776 of the family's 1533-position model. The record is from RNAcentral.